UUUGUCGGUUAACAUCAACAAGAAAUAAAAAAUGUCGCGAAGAGAAAUUUCGCCCGCUGACCUUGAGCGAUUAGACGAUAUUCAGAAGAUGUAUAUGAAGAGAUUCGAGCAGAAGAAUAAUCAAAGAGUAUCAAAAUACGUUCACACGAGAUGGAAGAAUAGAAUCACCGGCGGUCUACUGGGUUGCCUUGUCAUUGGUGUUUAUGCUUAUACAAUCCGAGCUCUGAGACAGGAGAAAAUGGGUCCAGAAUAUGAUCAGAGAUUCUCGGAUGUUGCAAAGAAAGAGUCGAGUUCCACCUAGCGAAGAAUGAUGAUAAUUCAACAACUGAGGACGCAUAUUACUGCUGAGUCAUGAUCAAGCCAAGAUGCAUGUAAUAACAUUGAAAUGCAAACUUAAAUUGACCUUUAACUCUUUCAGUGCUGGAACCGAAUUUUGAAGGCCUUUGCAAACAAAACGUGGCGUCUCAUCAGGAUCCAAACUGUUUGCUAUUCUGAUAGUAGUUUUUGAAAAAAAAUCUAAGAAAAUGCUAAUUUUAGAAAUUCAGCAGACAACAUUUUAGCAGACGACAAAUUUACCAGCAUGCAAAGGGUUAAACAAGUUGUAACAUUCUCAGCAGUUGUUCUGUGUGUUUCAAACUUGAUGUUUGCAUUUGUGACGCAUAUUUUCUUUGGAAGAACAAACUUAAAUAGACAACUUAGUGCUUGCAUGACAAAGUUGCAGUGUUUUAAGAUGAAUAUGCUUUGCUAUGAAGAUUGACAUGGCCGUGAGAUAGAUGUCUUUCCUUGUGCAAAUGAGCUGUGUCUUUGUCAUUCUGAACAUCGAACAGAAUGUUAAGAAAGCGAAGUGUUUAAAUACUUUGAGACAAUUGUUUUGUAACUGUUAACAUUUGUUUUAACCCAAACAUACACAAACAAAAAUCUGUGCUUAAAAUCUAAGUUAAACAUUUUGUUAAGAAAAAUAAUUAAAAUAGAGUUAUUCAUGUCAUUAAAUAUGUUUUCAGUUGUUUGAUUUUGCCAAAUAAAUGUUAAAAUGAUUUUUCAACAUUUUAAAACUAUCUUUUACAUGUUACUGUUAAUAUUUUGUUUUUGUUGUUAAAAUAAAUGUUUAAAUUAUCAGAAUACCUGUGUCUAGUAAAGAGUAAAAAAUCCAUGAAUAUGUAGAGGCAUAGACUGAGCUGAACUGCAUCAUGACCAUUUCAUGUAAAUCAUGUUAGUAAUAUAUACAUUGCGUGUAACUUGCACAGAAUUGAAAGAAAAUUGCUUUUUCUUUUUUACUUGUUUUGUUUAUAUUUCAAAUCUGUUGUGUAACUUGAUUGAAUAUUUGGUUGAAAUUACAUAUGUUUUAAAUACAUUCUAUGUAGAAAACAUAGAA
Long non-coding RNA from Dreissena polymorpha, 1372 nucleotides. RefSeq lists it as uncharacterized. The record is from RefSeq and is a predicted model, not a curated record. The transcript is spliced from 2 exons. NCBI's taxonomy places the organism in Eukaryota, Metazoa, Mollusca, Bivalvia, Myida, Dreissenidae.